This 200-nucleotide unclassified non-coding RNA is filed under the name soil metagenome. RNAcentral describes it as "partial contains internal transcribed spacer 2 and large subunit ribosomal RNA". The record is from RNAcentral.
CGAGCGUCAUUACAACCCUCAAGCCUGGCUUGGUCUUGGGCUUCGCCACUUACCUGGCGGGCCUUAAAAUUAGUGGCGGUGCUGUCGAGGCCCUGAGCGUAGUAAAUAUCCUCGCUUUAGGGACUCGGUGGUUACUGGCCAUAAACCCCCAACUUUCUAAGUUUGACCUCGGAUCAGGUAGGGAUACCCGCUGAACUUAA